GUUGUUUUUAACCGAAGACGAUGUUCCCGGGGCGAAACUGCCAACACCAAAAGUAAAGGAUCAUGCCAACUUUGUUUUGGAACGAUGUGGUUAGCCUGUCAGUGGCGAGUUGGGGAGAAAAGAGCAGCAUUGAUAGCAAGGCUACCAAGUACAUAUCAACUCAUUUUUGUGGCAGUUGACCAUUACAUCAUGUGUGCAGAUGCAAAAACUGCGUAGAAGUUGGUAAAGCUGUAGAGAUUGAUGUGAGCAUAGAUCAGGG
RNAcentral lists this long non-coding RNA (259 nucleotides) under Lingula anatina. RNAcentral describes it as "uncharacterized LOC106180472". Lineage: Eukaryota; Metazoa; Brachiopoda; Lingulata; Lingulida; Lingulidae. The record is from RNAcentral.